CAAAUAAUUAAUGAAAGACGUGUGAAUUUAAUUGUUUAAUCAAAAAGACGUUGAAAUGUUCGUAUUUUGUGCAAUUGAAAAUUUAAGGACAUGACUUAUAUUCAUAUAAGAUCAUAUAAGAAAUCAGACGAUACCAAGAGAAUAAUUUAAUCUCUAGUGCAACACUUACAAGUCGGAAGAACAAAGACGGAAAACAAACAAAAAAUAAAAAAAUUAUGCCCCAAAAAUUACUCAUUUACUUAAAAAUUCUAACAUUUAUCUUAAAAUAAGUAAAAAUUAUGUCAUUCAACUCCCAGUUUUCAACUUUUUCUACAUGUGCAGAAAAUAAAACAGGUGUCUUCUAUUCCGUCCGCAAUUUAUGGGAAAACUAAAUCUAAAUUUAGAACCAUAUUGAAAUUGAAAGUACACAUGUAAG
Molecule: long non-coding RNA, 415 nt
Filed under: Mytilus galloprovincialis (Mediterranean mussel)
Lineage: Eukaryota; Metazoa; Mollusca; Bivalvia; Mytilida; Mytilidae
Source: RNAcentral